RNAcentral lists this unclassified non-coding RNA (314 nucleotides) under Hevea brasiliensis (rubber tree). The record is from RNAcentral. Lineage: Eukaryota; Viridiplantae; Streptophyta; Magnoliopsida; Malpighiales; Euphorbiaceae.
GCGAGAAGCAUCAUCACGACAACAAGCCACCGGUUUAUCGUUACGAGUCUCCACCGCCACCGUCACCACCCGUGUAUCAUUAUAAGUCUCCGCCACCGCCGGUUUAUCACUAUAAAUCUCCACCACCACCAGUGUAUCAUUACAAGUCUCCUCCGCCACCGGUAGUUUAUCACUAUAAGUCUCCACCGCCACCGGUAUAUCAUUACAAGUCUCCACCACCACCGCCCCCGGCAGUUUAUCACUACAAGUCUCCACCGCCACCGGUAUAUCAUUACAAGUCUCCACCACCACCGCCCCCGGCAGUUUAUCACUAC